RNAcentral lists this ribosomal RNA (1346 nucleotides) under uncultured bacterium. RNAcentral describes it as "partial 16S ribosomal RNA". It matches the Rfam family "Bacterial small subunit ribosomal RNA", at positions 28 to 1381 of the family's 1533-position model. The record is from RNAcentral.
GACGAACGCUGGCGGCGUGCUUAACACAUGCAAGUCGAACGGAAAGGCCCUGCUUUUGUGGGGUGCUCGAGUGGCGAACGGGUGAGUAACACGUGAGUAACCUGCCCUUGACUUUGGGAUAACUUCAGGAAACUGGGGCUAAUACCGGAUAGGAGCUCCUGCUGCAUGGUGGGGGUUGGAAAGUUUCGGCGGUUGGGGAUGGACUCGCGGCUUAUCAGCUUGUUGGUGGGGUAGUGGCUUACCAAGGCUUUGACGGGUAGCCGGCCUGAGAGGGUGACCGGCCACAUUGGGACUGAGAUACGGCCCAGACUCCUACGGGAGGCAGCAGUGGGGAAUAUUGCACAAUGGGCGGAAGCCUGAUGCAGCAACGCCGCGUGCGGGAUGACGGCCUUCGGGUUGUAAACCGCUUUCGCCUGUGACGAAGCGUGAGUGACGGUAAUGGGUAAAGAAGCACCGGCUAACUACGUGCCAGCAGCCGCGGUGAUACGUAGGGUGCGAGCGUUGUCCGGAUUUAUUGGGCGUAAAGGGCUCGUAGGUGGUUGAUCGCGUCGGAAGUGUAAUCUUGGGGCUUAACCCUGAGCGUGCUUUCGAUACGGGUUGACUUGAGGAAGGUAGGGGAGAAUGGAAUUCCUGGUGGAGCGGUGGAAUGCGCAGAUAUCAGGAGGAACACCAGUGGCGAAGGCGGUUCUCUGGGCCUUUCCUGACGCUGAGGAGCGAAAGCGUGGGGAGCGAACAGGCUUAGAUACCCUGGUAGUCCACGCUGUAAACGGUGGGUACUAGGUGUGGGGUCCAUUCCACGGGUUCCGUGCCGUAGCUAACGCUUUAAGUACCCCGCCUGGGGAGUACGGCCGCAAGGCUAAAACUCAAAGGAAUUGACGGGGCCCCGCACAAGCGGCGGAGCAUGCGGAUUAAUUCGAUGCAACGCGUAGAACCUUACCUGGGUUUGACAUGGAUCGGGAGUGCUCAGAGAUGGGUGUGCCUCUUUUGGGGUCGGUUCACAGGUGGUGCAUGGCUGUCGUCAGCUCGUGUCGUGAGAUGUUGGGUUAAGUCCCGCAACGAGCGCAACCCUUGUUCACUGUUGCCAGCACGUUAUGGUGGGGACUCAGUGGAGACCGCCGGGGUCAACUCGGAGGAAGGUGGGGAUGACGUCAAGUCAUCAUGCCCCUUAUGUCCAGGGCUUCACGCAUGCUACAAUGGCUGGUACAGAGAGUGGCGAGCCUGUGAGGGUGAGCGAAUCUCGGAAAGCCGGUCUCAGUUCGGAUUGGGGUCUGCAACUCGACCUCAUGAAGUCGGAGUCGCUAGUAAUCGCAGAUCAGCAACGCUGCGGUGAAUACGUUUCCCGGGCU